This 208-nucleotide ribosomal RNA is filed under the name uncultured bacterium. Its description in RNAcentral is "partial 16S ribosomal RNA". It matches the Rfam family "Bacterial small subunit ribosomal RNA", at positions 137 to 334 of the family's 1533-position model. The record is from RNAcentral.
UGGGGAUACGUACCCGAAAGGGACGCUAAUACCGCAUAACAUCCUGCUUUUUAAGAGGUGGAGAUCAAAGCCGGGGAUCGCAAGACCUGGCGCUUGAAGAGGGGCCCGCGUCCGAUUAGCUAGUUGGUGGGGUAAUGGCUCACCAAGGCUUCGAUCGGUAUCCGGCCUGAGAGGGCGAACGGACACAUGGGACUGAGACACGGCCCAG